RNAcentral lists this long non-coding RNA (977 nucleotides) under Lathyrus oleraceus (garden pea). RNAcentral describes it as "Pisum sativum (pea) long non-coding RNA (PSAT_LNC041141)". The record is from RNAcentral. Lineage: Eukaryota; Viridiplantae; Streptophyta; Magnoliopsida; Fabales; Fabaceae.
AUGUUUGUUAGGAUUAUGAGGAUCUCACAAUAAUAAAGGUGGUGCUAAUGUAACACUGGAAAAAUGAUUGACUUGGUUUCCUUUAUAACAUACGGUCUUAUUUUCAUUUUCUUGUAAUUAUUCUAUUUUCUUUUUUUCUUUUUCAUUUUCUUGUAAUUAUUCUUUUUUCUUUUUUUCUUUUUCAUUUUCUCUACUUAUAAUUAGUAUUUUAGCAUAUUUUUUAUUCUAUAUAACUUAUGUUAAUUGUUUAAUUAUCAGAAUAUCGAAGAUGACAUUUUAUGUUGUUAAGGAUAUAAGUAUAUAUUUAAAUAAUUUUGAUGUUCAAUACAUAUCUUUCUAAACUAAUUAAUGUCAAGGUUUGUUACUCAUUACAUGUUUGAUUGAUUUAUAUAAUUGUGGAUGUACUUAAUAUAAAUAUUUAGCUUACUAUAUCUAAUAGAAAUCUCUGGUUCAUAAUCACUUUAUAAUUGUAUAAACAAAAUACAAAUGGUAAAAAUAUACGUACUGCUGAAAAAUUGAUAUAUUUUCCUUUUUUUUCUAUAUCUUUUAUGAGUAAUUUUCUUUCUUAACUUUCAACUGUACGGUUCAAUUGGUUUCUGAUAUAAGUUAAUCUUUUGAAGUUUACACAUCUCUAACUCUCUCAUUUUGUCACUCUAUUCAUCUGUGUUUCUUCUUAUUUUCAAUUUUAGUUUUGUGUCACCAAUGAUUAUGAUAGGGUUUUCGUAUUAUUUUGAUGAGAUUGAGAUGGUUGUUAGGAUUAAUAGGAUCUCAAAAUAAUAAAGGUGGUGCUAAUGUAACACUGGAAAAAUGAUGGAGUUGGUUUCCUUUAUAACAUACGGUCUCAUUUUCAUUUUCUUGUAAUUAUUCUAUUUUCAUUUUCUUGUAAUUAUUCUUUUUUCUUUUUUUCUUUUUCAUUUUCUACUUAUAAUUAGUAUUUUAGCAUAUUUUUUAAUCUACAUAACUUAUGUUAAUUGUUU